GAUGAACGCUGGCGGCGUGCCUAAUACAUGCAAGUCGAGCGAACAGACGAGGAGUUUGCUCCUCUGACGUUAGCGGCGGACGGGUGAGUCACACGUGGAUAACCUACCUAUAAGACUGGGAUAACUUCGGGAAACCGGAGCUAAUACCGGAUAAUAUAUUGAACCGCAUGGUUCAUUAGUGAAAGACGGUUUUGCUGUCACUAAUAGAUGGAUCCGCGCCGCAUUAGCUAGUUGGUAAGGUAACGGCUUACCAAGGCUACGAUGCGUAGCCGACCUGAGAGGGUGGUCGGCCACACUGGAACUGAGACACGGUCCAGACUCCUACGGGAGGCAGCAGUAGGGAAUCUUCCGCAAUGGGCGAAAGCUUGACGGAGCAACGCCGCGUGAGUGAUGAAGGUCUUCGGAUCGUAAAACUCUGUUAUUAGGGAAGAACAAAUGUGUAAGUAACUAUGCACGUCUUGACGGUACCUAAUCAGAAAGCCACGGCUAACUACGUG
Molecule: ribosomal RNA, 497 nt
Filed under: uncultured bacterium
Lineage: Bacteria
Description: partial 16S ribosomal RNA
Rfam family: Bacterial small subunit ribosomal RNA
Source: RNAcentral